AAAAAACCAGUUAGUCUGCUAAAUUAUUUGCACUACUUUACACCUACUUUAAGCCUUCCACAAUGCUGCCAAACGCUGGCCUUACUUUUUUUAUGCUGUUUGCCAUGCUAAUAAUAACCGUGGAAGAAAACGGAAGAAAACGCGACGGCUUCUCUGACCGCGGAGGGGAUGGAAGCCCUACGCACUAAACGAAGCAUUGGGGUGUUUGGAGAUCCGAACUGCUUUCCGUGGUCUUCCUGCCCAUGUGGAUGUCCCAGUACAGACUAUUACUGUGGACAUUUGUGUAAAUACAUAAAUGCAACCACAAAGGUACCACAAGAUCGACUCAGUACUGCGGCAACCAACAACAUCGAAGGAGCCUUGCAAACAUGCAAGAAUAUUAUAAACACAUUAUACGUGCACGGACAUCACCACAAAAAAAAACGCGGAAAACAACCGUUUGAUAAUACUAUUCCAUAAAGCUUCUUUGUAUCUUCCAUGGAGAUCAUCAAUUUCUUCUUGCGAAGGUUGAGCAAUUUUUUGGACCUCAAUGGAUUUUCCAACUAAAUAUACCAGAACCUAAUUAGAGAUUUUCCAGUUGGUGAAUUUUUUAGUAAAUAUUGGAUAACACUUACCUACUACGUUGAUCGGCCUUUUGAGAGGCUGCCAAAAGAAAAUUUUGGAGCAACCAUAAAAGAUCACCAGAGGAAAACCAGUUAAUGAUGCAAACCAUGAUUGCACAUUUCGUAAUCGCGAGCCAGUUGGAUUAUCAAAAACCUGGUGGAAGAUGUCGGUCUCGCCGAAAGAGUAAACGGGAACCAAAUGACAUCUGCAACAUAUACUCUUUUCUAAUGCCAUGCGGAUAAAUCCUUUCCGAUUUUCCAAAACAAGGGUAUUUCGUCCAGGCCAAGCUUCGAACAUUUCCGCCGCUCCUCCGGGAAUUAAGACCAGUACAUUGCCGGUGCUUUUCUCCGCGAUACGCUUAAUGUUCCGCUUUGACGCACUGGAGCAGCCGCCCCAUAGAAACAUUUCACGGAACAGAGGAAACCAGAACACGAGCCGUGAGACCAGAAUAUGCAACCGCAUUCCUGGCAAUCGUUGGCUGAUCCCCAGACCUUCGGAGAUUAACGCACCACUGACACCGGUGGCCAGAAUCCCGUGCGGAUGACAUGCGAAAAUGUAGUUGUUAUCCGGAGUGAUGGUCUGCGGCGUGGUUACAUGUAAAGCGGUGGAGAAGUACUGAUACCAAUAGUUAGUAAAACUGCAAUUGCGUAGCGGUCGCCAUGAUCGUCCGCCUUGAUUCUGAGAAUCGUCGAUCAGCAUCCACGCAAAAAGCAGUAACGGUAUCCAAAAGUAAUUCGUAAAUAAGAGCUUUAUUAAAACAGGGUACACAAUUAUCCAUCCUCCCCAGCAAAGAAAUAUAAUAUUGGUGCAGUAAUACCAGGAGAUUACUAAUAGUUUCUGGUUCCACAUUAAUAUUACCUGAGCAGUCACGCUUGCUGGGAAAAAUCCUAGUUAGAAGACUAUUUAGAUUGAAUAAUAUGUUUAACAGAAUCGAUGAAAGGCAUGCUUAUUGAGUGCUCACAUGUGGGAGUGCAUGCAUAUCAGUAGACUGUAUGUACAGGUAUAUGGCAUAUACCUGUACAUACACUCACAUCGUAAAAUGCGCGAAUCAUCCGGUAAACACAAGCAACCGGUUGCGGAAA
Long non-coding RNA from Paramacrobiotus metropolitanus, 1685 nucleotides. RefSeq lists it as uncharacterized. The transcript is spliced from 5 exons. The record is from RefSeq and is a predicted model, not a curated record. Lineage: Eukaryota; Metazoa; Tardigrada; Eutardigrada; Parachela; Macrobiotidae.